Molecule: ribosomal RNA, 301 nt
Filed under: uncultured bacterium
Lineage: Bacteria
Description: partial 16S ribosomal RNA
Rfam family: Bacterial small subunit ribosomal RNA
Source: RNAcentral
CAGUCGCCGCGGGAAUACAGAGGAUGCAAGCGUUAUCAGGAAUGAUUGGGCGUAAAGCGUCUGUAGGUGGUUUAACAAGUUAGUGGUGAAAGGCAUAGGCUCAACCAAUGUAAGCCAUUAAAACUGUUUAACUUGAGUGCAGGAGAGGAAAGUGGAAUUCCUAGUGUAGCGGUGAAAUGCGUAGAUAUUAGGAGGAAUACCAGUGGCGAAGGCGACUUUCUGGACUGCAACUGACACUGAGGCACGAAAGCGUGGGGAGCAAACAGGAUUAGAUACCCCUGUAGUCCCUGUCUCUUAUACA